GAUGAACGCUGGCGGCGUGCCUAAUACAUGCAAGUCGAGCGAACGGACGAGAAGCUUGCUUUUCUGAUGUUAGCGGCGGACGGGUGAGUAACACGUGGAUAACCUACCUAUAAGACUGGGAUAACUUCGGGAAACCGGAGCUAAUACCGGAUAAUAUUUUGAACCGCAUGGUUCAAAAGUGAAAGACGGUCUUGCUGUCACUUAUAGAUGGAUCCGCGCUGCAUUAGCUAGUUGGUAAGGUAACGGCUUACCAAGGCAACGAUGCAUAGCCGACCUGAGAGGGUGAUCGGCCACACUGGAACUGAGACACGGUCCAGACUCCUACGGGAGGCAGCAGUAGGGAAUCUUCCGCAAUGGGCGAAAGCCUGACGGAGCAACGCCGCGUGAGUGAUGAAGGUCUUCGGAUCGUAAAACUCUGUUAUUAGGGAAGAACAUAUGUGUAAGUAACUGUGCACAUCUUGACGGUACCUAAUCAGAAAGCCACGGCUAACUACGUGCCAGCAGCCGCGGUAAUACGUAGGUGGCAAGCGUUAUCCGGAAUUAUUGGGCGUAAAGCGCGCGUAGGCGGUUUUUUCAGUCUGAUGUGAAAGCCCACGGCUCAACCGUGGAGGGUCAUUGGAAACUGGAAAACUUGAGUGCAGAAGAGGAAAGUGGAAUUCCAUGUGUAGCGGUGAAAUGCGCAGAGAUGUGGAGGAACACCAGUGGCGAAGGCGACUUUCUGGUCUGUAACUGACGCUGAUGUGCGAAAGCGUGGGGAUCAAACAGGAUUAGAUACCCUGGUAGUCCACGCCGUAAACGAUGAGUGCUAAGUGUUAGGGGGUUUCCGCCCCUUAGUGCUGCAGCUAACGCAUUAAGCACUCCGCCUGGGGAGUACGACCGCAAGGUUGAAACUCAAAGGAAUUGACGGGGGCCCGCACAAGCGGUGGAGCAUGUGGUUUAAUUCGAAGCAACGCGAAGAACCUUACCAAAUCUUGACAUCCUUUGACAACUCUAGAGAUAGAGCCUUCCCCUUCGGGGGACAAAGUGACAGGUGGUGCAUGGUUGUCGUCAGCUCGUGUCGUGAGAUGUUGGGUUAAGUCCCGCAACGAGCGCAACCCUUAAGCUUAGUUGCCAUCAUUAAGUUGGGCACUCUAAGUUGACUGCCGGUGACAAACCGGAGGAAGGUGGGGAUGACGUCAAAUCAUCAUGCCCCUUAUGAUUUGGGCUACACACGUGCUACAAUGGACAAUACAAAGGGCAGCGAAACCGCGAGGUCAAGCAAAUCCCAUAAAGUUGUUCUCAGUUCGGAUUGUAGUCUGCAACUCGACUACAUGAAGCUGGAAUCGCUAGUAAUCGUAGAUCAGCAUGCUACGGUGAAUACGUUCCCGGGUCU
Molecule: ribosomal RNA, 1372 nt
Filed under: uncultured bacterium
Lineage: Bacteria
Description: bacterial SSU rRNA
Rfam family: Bacterial small subunit ribosomal RNA
Source: RNAcentral